Cavia aperea (Brazilian guinea pig) is the source of this 82-nucleotide microRNA precursor. Ensembl annotates it as microRNA 30d. Lineage: Eukaryota; Metazoa; Chordata; Mammalia; Rodentia; Caviidae. The record is from Ensembl.
AAGUCUGCUGUUGUAAACAUCCCCGACUGGAAGCUGUACAACACAGCUGAGCUUUCAGUCAGAUGUUUGCUGCUGCUGGCUC